This 73-nucleotide transfer RNA is filed under the name Stegodyphus mimosarum. It matches the Rfam family "tRNA". From Rfam's summary of the family: Transfer RNA (tRNA) molecules are approximately 80 nucleotides in length. Their secondary structure includes four short double-helical elements and three loops (D, anti-codon, and T loops). Further hydrogen bonds mediate the characteristic L-shaped molecular structure. tRNAs have two regions of fundamental functional importance: the anti-codon, which is responsible for specific mRNA codon recognition, and the 3' end, to which the tRNAs corresponding amino acid is attached (by aminoacyl-tRNA synthetases). tRNAs cope with the degeneracy of the genetic code in two manners: having more than one tRNA (with a specific anti-codon) for a particular amino acid; and 'wobble' base-pairing, i.e. permitting non-standard base-pairing at the 3rd anti-codon position. The record is from Rfam by way of RNAcentral. Lineage: Eukaryota; Metazoa; Arthropoda; Arachnida; Araneae; Eresidae.
GCCUUCUUGGUGUAAUGGUCAGCACAAUCGGCGCAUAUUCGAGAGAUCCAAGGUUCGAGUCCCGGUGAAGGCA